RNAcentral lists this ribosomal RNA (492 nucleotides) under uncultured bacterium. Its description in RNAcentral is "partial 16S ribosomal RNA". It matches the Rfam family "Bacterial small subunit ribosomal RNA", at positions 29 to 507 of the family's 1533-position model. The record is from RNAcentral.
AGUGAACGCUGGCGGCAGGCCUAACACAUGCAAGUCGAACGGCAGCACAGUAAGAGCUUGCUCUUACGGGUGGCGAGUGGCGGACGGGUGAGGAAUACAUCGGAAUCUACUUUUUCGUGGGGGAUAACGUAGGGAAACUUACGCUAAUACCGCAUACGACCUACGGGUGAAAGCAGGGGAACUUCGGACCUUGCGCGAUUGAAUGAGCCGAUGUCGGAUUAGCUAGUUGGCGGGGUAAAGGCCCACCAAGGCGACGAUCCGUAGCUGGUCUGAGAGGAUGAUCAGCCACACUGGAACUGAGACACGGUCCAGACUCCUACGGGAGGCAGCAGUGGGGAAUAUUGGACAAAGGGCGCAAGCCUGAUCCAGCCAUACCGCGUGGGUGAAGAAGGCCUUCGGGUUGUAAAGCCCUUUUGUUGGGAAAGAAAAGCAGCAGGUUAAUACCCCGCUGUUCUGACGGUACCCAAAGAAUAAGCACCGGCUAACUUCGUG